GAUCCUGGCUCAGGAUGAACGCUAGCGGCAGGCUUAACACAUGCAAGUCGAGGGGCAGCAUAAUGGUAGUAAUACUAUUGAUGGCGACCGGCGGACGGGUGCGUAACGCGUAUGCAACCUACCCUUUACAGGGGGAUAACACUGAGAAAUCGGUACUAAAUACCCCAUAAUAUUCUGGGAGGCAUCUUUCGGAGUUGAAAGCUUUGGUGGUAAAGGAUGGGCAUGCGUUGUAUUAGCUAGUUGGUAAGGUAACGG
RNAcentral lists this ribosomal RNA (255 nucleotides) under uncultured bacterium. RNAcentral's name for it is "partial 16S ribosomal RNA". It matches the Rfam family "Bacterial small subunit ribosomal RNA", at positions 15 to 263 of the family's 1533-position model. The record is from RNAcentral.